RNAcentral lists this non-coding RNA (193 nucleotides) under Thiothrix eikelboomii. The record is from RNAcentral. Lineage: Bacteria; Pseudomonadati; Pseudomonadota; Gammaproteobacteria; Thiotrichales; Thiotrichaceae.
UAACGUCCAGCGCGCUUAGGUGCAUUUUUCGAAGUGUUAAACGGGAAGCUGGUGAAUAAGCCAGCGCUGCCCCCGCAACGGUCAGUAAGUUCAGGCUGCUCUAAACCACUGUGUUUUGCAAGCAUGGGAAGGUUGCAGCUUCCGACUUUGGUCACUUACAAGCCCGGAUACCGGCCUAGCUUAUGUUGUGACA